RNAcentral lists this ribosomal RNA (484 nucleotides) under uncultured Pseudomonas sp. Its description in RNAcentral is "partial 16S ribosomal RNA". The record is from RNAcentral. Lineage: Bacteria; Pseudomonadati; Pseudomonadota; Gammaproteobacteria; Pseudomonadales; Pseudomonadaceae.
CACAGAGUUAGCCGGUGCUUAUUCUGUCGGUAACGUCAAGACAGCAAGGUAUUCGCUGACUGCCCUUCCUCCCAACUUAAAGUGCUUUACAAUCCGAAGACCUUCUUCACACACGCGGCAUGGCUGGAUCAGGCUUUCGCCCAUUGUCCAAUAUUCCCCACUGCUGCCUCCCGUAGGAGUCUGGACCGUGUCUCAGUUCCAGUGUGACUGAUCAUCCUCUCAGACCAGUUACGGAUCGUCGCCUUGGUGAGCCAUUACCUCACCAACUAGCUAAUCCGACCUAGGCUCAUCUGAUAGCGCAAGGCCCGAAGGUCCCCUGCUUUCUCCCGUAGGACGUAUGCGGUAUUAGCGUUCCUUUCGAAACGUUGUCCCCCACUACCAGGCAGAUUCCUAGGCAUUACUCACCCGUCCGCCGCUGAAUCAGGAAGCAAGCUUCCUUCAACCGCUCGACUUGCAUGUGUUAGGCCUGCCGCCAGCGUUCAAU